UGGAGAAAAGCAGGGGAUCGUAAGACCUUGCGCUUUUGGAGCGGCCGAUGUCUGAUUAGCUAGUUGGUGGGGUAAUGGCCUACCAAAGCUUCGAUCAGUAGCUGGUCUGAGAGGACGGCCAACCACACUGGGACUGAGACACGGCCCAGACUCCUACGGGAGGCAGCAGUGGGGAAUUUUGGACAAUGGGCGCAAGCCUGAUCCAGCCAUGCCGCGUGAGUGAAGAAGGCCUUCGGGUUGUAAAGCUCUUUCAGCCGGGAAGAAAAGGCUGCGAUUAAUAAUCGCAGUUCAUGACGGUACCGGAAGAAGAAGCACCGGCUAACUACGUGCCAGCAGCCGCGGUAAUACGUAGGGUGCGAGCGUUAAUCGGAAUUACUGGGCGUAAAGGGUGCGCAGGCGGUUUUGUAAGUCAGAUGUGA
This 419-nucleotide ribosomal RNA is filed under the name uncultured ammonia-oxidizing beta proteobacterium. RNAcentral's name for it is "bacterial SSU rRNA". It matches the Rfam family "Bacterial small subunit ribosomal RNA", at positions 197 to 597 of the family's 1533-position model. Lineage: Bacteria; Pseudomonadati; Pseudomonadota; Betaproteobacteria. The record is from RNAcentral.